AGGAGAGUUUGAUCCUGGCUCAGGAUGAACGCUAGCGACAGGCCUAACACAUGCAAGUCGAGCGGCAGCACCUCGGGUGGCGAGCGGCGCACGGGUGAGUAACGCGUAUGUAACCUGCCCAUGAGUGGGGGAUAGCCCGGUGAAAACCGGAUUAAUACCCCAUGACACCAUUGUCUGACAUCAUUUAAUGGUUAAAGAUUCAUUGCUCAUGGAUGGACAUGCGUUGGAUUAGCUAGUCGGCGGGGCAACGGCCCACCGAGGCUACGAUCCAUAGGGGUUCUGAGAGGAAGGUCCCCCACAUUGGUACUGAGACACGGACCAAACUCCUACGGGAGGCAGCAGUGAGGAAUAUUGGUCAAUGGGCGGAAGCCUGAACCAGCCAAGUCGCGUGAAGGAUGAAGGUAUUAUGUAUUGUAAACUUCUUUAGCUGUGGAGAAAUAAGGGGCAUGCAUGCCCUGAUGCUAGUACACAGAGAAUAAGGAUCGGCUAACUCCGUGCCAGCAGCCGCGGUAAUACGGAGGAUCCGAGCGUUAUCCGGAUUCAUUGGGUUUAAAGGGUGCGCAGGCGGUGCCUUAAGUCAGCGGUAAAAUCGUGGGGCUCAACCCCAUCCCGCCGUUGAUACUGGGGCACUUGAUUACGGUCGAGGCAGGCGGAAUUCGUCGUGUAGCGGUGAAAUGCAUAGAUAUGACGAAGCACACCGAUUGCGUAGGCAGCCUACCAGGCCGUUAAUGACGCUCAUGCACGAAAGUGCGGGGAUCGAACAGGAUUAGAUACCCUGGUAGUCCCCU
Molecule: ribosomal RNA, 788 nt
Filed under: uncultured Bacteroidota bacterium
Lineage: Bacteria; Pseudomonadati; Bacteroidota
Description: bacterial SSU rRNA
Rfam family: Bacterial small subunit ribosomal RNA
Source: RNAcentral